UUGAUCUACGUGUCUAUCAUGGUUAAAAAUUUUAAAUGUUAUCAAUAUGGAUCACAAGUCUACUUGCAGUGUCUGUGGUAUAUAGGCUGUAGAUGAAGAAUCCAUGUUUUGAGAUUAGAAAUAUGCUGCUUACAUUCGUUAGAUGUGUUUACUUGACUCUUGACCUAUUGUUUCACAGAAUUUGAUUCAAAAUAGAAUGGCUGGUGGGUGAUUUAUUGAUUCACAAAAUGAUUCAGUAUCUAAUACAGAAGUCAGGAAUGUCCGAAAGCCAUCGUCAUCUGCUGCUCCUGGAGGAUUACAUUCAUUGAGCAGGCUGGUCCCUCGUAACCUAUCAUCAGAUCGAAAGUCAAGUUUCUCAAUUCCCAUAUCUAGGAAAAAUGAUUACAUGUGGAAAUCUGAUGAUGAUGACGUAUCAGAUGCUUUAGAAAACAUUCAGCUUGACAGAAAAGCUCGAAAUUUGAC
Long non-coding RNA from Zingiber officinale, 462 nucleotides. RefSeq lists it as uncharacterized. The transcript has 3 exons. The record is from RefSeq and is a predicted model, not a curated record. NCBI's taxonomy places the organism in Eukaryota, Viridiplantae, Streptophyta, Magnoliopsida, Zingiberales, Zingiberaceae.